This 253-nucleotide ribosomal RNA is filed under the name uncultured bacterium. RNAcentral describes it as "partial 16S ribosomal RNA". It matches the Rfam family "Bacterial small subunit ribosomal RNA", at positions 524 to 776 of the family's 1533-position model. The record is from RNAcentral.
UACAGAGGUGGCAAGCGCUGUUCGGAAUUACUGGGCGUAAAGGGCGCGUAGGCGGUUCGUUAAGUCCUGUGUGAAAUCCCCCGGCUCAACUGGGGAACUGCACAGGAAACUAGCGGGCUUGAGUUCGGGAGAGGGAAGCGGAAUUCCGGGUGUAGCGGUGAAAUGCGUAGAUAUCCGGAGGAACACCGGUGGCGAAGGCGGCUUCCUGGACCGACACUGACGCUGAGGCGCGAAAGCUAGGGGAGCAAACGGG